AUAGGAGGUCCUACCUGCCCAGUGACAAGUUAAACGGCCGCGGUAUUUUGACCGUGCGAAGGUAGCGCAAUCACUUGUCUUUUAAAUGAAGACCUGUAUGAAUGGUGGAACGAGGGCUUAACUGUCUCCCUUCUCCAGUCAAUGAAAUUGAUCUGCCCGUGCAGAAGCGGACAUAUUAAUACAAGACGAGAAGACCCUUUGGAGCUUAAGAUAAAAGACCAACUAUGUCAAGAAGCUAAAAAAUAUAGCUUAAACUAAAUAGCGACUUGAUCCUUAUCUUCAGUUGGGGCGACUGCGGAAGAAAACAAAGCUUCCACGAGGAUUGGGACUAAUAUCCUAAAGCCAAGAAAGACACUUCUAAGCCACAGAACAUCUGACCAUCUAAGAUCCGGCCACCAGCCGAUCAGCGGACCAAGUUACCCUAGGGAUAACAGCGCAAUCCCCUUUCAGAGUUCAUAUCGACAAGGGGGUUUACGACCUCGAUGUUGGAUCAGGACAUCCUAAUGGUGCAGCCGCUAUUAAGGGUUCGUUUGUUCAACGAUUAAAGUCC
This 550-nucleotide ribosomal RNA is filed under the name Silurus glanis (European catfish). RNAcentral describes it as "partial 16S ribosomal RNA". It matches the Rfam family "Bacterial large subunit ribosomal RNA", at positions 1845 to 2596 of the family's 2925-position model. The record is from RNAcentral. Lineage: Eukaryota; Metazoa; Chordata; Actinopteri; Siluriformes; Siluridae.